This 1169-nucleotide ribosomal RNA is filed under the name Virgibacillus sp. CM-4. RNAcentral describes it as "bacterial LSU rRNA". It matches the Rfam family "Bacterial large subunit ribosomal RNA", at positions 1 to 1163 of the family's 2925-position model. The record is from RNAcentral. Lineage: Bacteria; Bacillati; Bacillota; Bacilli; Caryophanales; Bacillaceae.
AGGUUAAGCUAGAAAGGGCGCACGGUGGAUGCCUUGGCACUAGGAGCCGAAGAAGGACGGGACUAACACCGAUAUGUCUCGGGGAGUCGUAAGUAGACAUGGAUCCGGGAAUUUCCGAAUGGGGGAACCCACUGUUCGUAAUGGGACAGGAUCCAUGCCUGAAUCCAUAGGGCAUGGAGGGCACACCCGGGGAACUGAAACAUCUUAGUACCCGGAGGAGAAGAAAGCAAAUGCGAUUCCCUGAGUAGCGGCGAGCGAAACGGGAACAGCCCAAACCAAGAGGCGUGCCUCUUGGGGUUGUAGGACCGCUCAGAUGGGAGUGAGAAAGGAACGGGGUAGACGAACCGGUCUGGAACGGCCGGCCAGAGAAGGUGACAGCCCUGUAGUCGAAACUUCGUUCCCUCCCGAGCGGCUCCUGAGUACGGCGGGACACGGGAAAUCCCGUCGGAAGCAGGGAGGACCAUCUCCCAAGGCUAAAUACUCCCUAGUGACCGAUAGUGAACCAGUACCGUGAGGGAAAGGUGAAAAGCACCCCGGAAGGGGAGUGAAAGAGAACCUGAAACCGUGUGCCUACAAGUAGUCAGAGCCCGUUCAUGGGUGAUGGCGUGCCUUUUGUAGAAUGAACCGGCGAGUGACGAUGGCGUGCGAGGUUAAGCCGAAGAGGCGGAGCCGCAGCGAAAGCGAGUCUGAAUAGGGCGUUUGAGUACGUCGUCGUCGACCCGAAACCAGGUGAUCUACCCAUGUCCAGGGUGAAGGCCGGGUAACACCGGCUGGAGGCCCGAACCCACGUACGUUGAAAAGUGCGGGGAUGAGGUGUGGGUAGGGGUGAAAUGCCAAUCGAACUUGGAGAUAGCUGGUUCUCCCCGAAAUAGCUUUAGGGCUAGCCUCAAGGUGAGAGUCUUGGAGGUAGAGCACUGAUUGGGCUAGGGGCCCUCAUCGGGUUACCGAACCCAGUCAAACUCCGAAUGCCAAUGACUUAUCCUUGGGAGUCAGACUACGAGUGAUAAGAUCCGUGGUCAAGAGGGAAACAGCCCAGAUCGCCAGCUAAGGCCCCCAAGUGCACGUUCAGUGGAAAAGGAUGUGGAGUUGCGAAGACAACCAGGAUGUUGGCUUAGAAGCAGCCACCAUUUAAAGAGUGCGUAAUAGCUCACUGGUCGAGUGACUCUGCG